AAGACCCCCACCCUGAACUCUUAGAUGUUGUUGUCAAUCAGACCUCCCAGGGAUUCAGACAUGUAGAAGACACUAUGAAAGAAGGAACCACACCCUGGGCAGGAGCCUGAGUCCACAGCCUACCAACCUCAGUGAAGGAACCCACUCCACCAGAUCUCUCUGGAGCAGCUGGGUGAUAGGAACUUGGCUUCAAGCAGACAAAAGGCAAAGCAUAGGAACUGAAAGAUUUCCUAAGUCACUUGUCAUGAGCUUAAAAGAGACAUGAGGCUUGCUUCCCUGAGUCACCUGGGGAAGAGUGAUUCUUUGCAGCAUUAUCUGUUCCAGACAGAAGAAGACCACAGCAAAGGCUCAGGUAAAGUUGAGUAUUGUCAAUUUGACCCAAGUGAGCAGCAGAUACUAUUGAAAGCGCAGAGAUCUAGUAACAGGACUUGGAGGGUUAAUGGAAGGCUUCAAAAAUAAAAAGGUGACCUGGGUUAAGAGUGUGGAUCCUCACACAAGGAAGGUGGGAAUGGGCUCGUGUAAAAUUAUGUGCAAGGUAUACAUACUUAGUGUUAGAGGGAAGAUGGUAGAGGAUGGCUAUUGCUUUCAUAUUUAUUUAUUUAGGAAAGGCAGAUUUACAGACGGAGAGAGAGAUCUUCCAUCUACUGAUUCUCUUUCCAUGUAGUCAUUACUGUGCAAGGCCAUAGCCAGGAUCCAGGAACUCCACCUGGAUUCUGAAGUGGUUCUUGCAAGAAGGAAUUCUUCAACCUACUGUGCCACAAAACUGAUCACAGAGGGUGCUUCUUAGGGAUGAAAGUUAGAUGGUGAGAAAGAGAAAAAGAAUGGUUAUGCAGGGAAUCACACAGGUUGGUUGCUGCCAGAUAAUAGGAAGGUUUGAAUGCCAGGGCUGCUAUUUGCUUUAUCAUAAACCAAUACAGAGUAUUAGGUUCAAUGAAAUAAGCCAGUCACAGAAAAUAAA
Long non-coding RNA from Ochotona curzoniae (black-lipped pika), 958 nucleotides. RefSeq lists it as uncharacterized. The record is from RefSeq and is a predicted model, not a curated record. The transcript has 3 exons. NCBI's taxonomy places the organism in Eukaryota, Metazoa, Chordata, Mammalia, Lagomorpha, Ochotonidae.